This 1462-nucleotide long non-coding RNA is filed under the name Musa acuminata (dwarf banana). RNAcentral describes it as "long non-coding RNA (MACU_LNC002772)". The record is from RNAcentral. Lineage: Eukaryota; Viridiplantae; Streptophyta; Magnoliopsida; Zingiberales; Musaceae.
GUCGGCAAGAUGAAGUUUUGAUUGCUGUUCUUAAACGUCACCAUAAUAAGCUUUGAAAGAUCAAAGAUUCACAGGACUCUGUGGAUCACAAGCUACUAAACUAUCAUUCCUGAAAACUAAGCAGCUCUUUAUGCAUUAUCAUGGAGAACUUGGAUAGACGGCACACUAUAUAUUUCCAUGGAUCACCCCCUCAAUGAGACAAAGACAAAUCAAUGAGGACGCAUCGCAUGCCAAUCAUACACAGUUCCUGGUAACUGCUGCACCAUUCUCCCUGGUCACACCUGCAACCCACAAGCUAAAGCCUCCUCCCUCGGCAGUGAUAGCUAUUGGCACAGUCUCCCUCCAUUACAGGAUUGUAAGAAGCAGUAUAAGGUCAGCUGGACCCGGUCACAGUGUCCUUCUUGGUGAGAAGGAAGACUCAUUGACAGCCUAUAUUGGUCAUGGUGCGUGUCCGCGCUCUUAGUUAAUUCUUCGAUGGUUGGAGUUUGGUGCUUUGGCAAAGUUGGAAGCUGCUUCUGAUACCAACUGUUCACUUGUUUCAUGGCUUUAUUCAAAGAAGCCCAGCUUUAUGGCAUGGCAUGAUGGAGACAGCAAGCCACAGCACCGGCUUUGACAAGAAAGACUUGUUGUCUAGCUUCAAGUUUUAUGUUCACACUAUGAGCUGUGUCAUGGGGGCAGCUAACGACAGCUUGCCGUGUAACGCUAAGCAGAUAAAGACGUGUUCGAUUAGAUCGAGAGACGUAUAGUAUCUAUCCAUUCAUCCAUCCAUCCAUUUAAGAGCUGCUCCUUGCUGUCCCCACACCAAGUAAGCUUCUACAGAAGCCUAAUAUCUCAGGCACCAGUCCAAUUCAACCACUGGAGAUCAUUUGCAGAGCCACAUACGUACUACGAGGCGACCACCGUCCGACCUCGUGCGCCGGCCUCGCUAACGUGCGCCGGGAAGUGCUGUCUUCUCUUUAUUUAAUGUUCCCUUCGUUGGCUGCUUUUGACAGCUACGCGACAAAGGCGCCAGCCACGGUGAGUCAAUUCUCCGACAAUGGGACGCGUACCAAACGCCACGCGUCUAUCAGCCAAUGGCAAAGCCUCGGGUCCCGCAUGGUGAUGGACAUUUUGUCGCCUUCCUAUGGGCCACGCGGGCGCGACAAAAGACAGGUCGGUAAGUGCUGAGGACGCCCGGCUUCAUCCUCCCCCUCCCUUCCUCGGUAGAUAUGAUGACGAGAAUGAUGUGAAAUGAGUUCAAAGCCUAUCCGCUGGGGAAAACGACGAACAAAGCUCCUCCAUGUCCAGCCAAGGUAGAUGUUAGAAAUCUGAGGAAAGAAUUAGAUUAUUCUUCAUUUAGAUAGAAGAAGAAGAAUGAGAAAGAAGGAAAGAAUUAGAUUAUCCUUCCUAAGAGUUCUAAGAUCACACUCCAUUCGCUUACAACUUUCUCCUCCGAUGAUGGAGGAAUCAGAGUUUUAACAGA